AUGAACGCUGGCGGCGCGCUUUAUGCAUGCAAGUCGAGCGGUCUUUUUCGCAAGGGAAAGACAGUGGCGAACGGGUGAGUAACUCGUAAGUAACCUGUCCUUAAGUGGGGGAUAGCCCCGGGAAACUGGGGUUAAUACCGCAUGUAGUCCUUCACCGCAGGGUGAAGGACUAAAGCCGUAAGGCGCUUGAGGAGGGGCUUGCGUCCGAUUAGCUAGUUGGUAGGGUAACGGCCUACCAAGGCUGUGAUCGGUAGCUGGUCUGAGAGGAUGGUCAGCCACACUGGGACUGAGACACGGCCCAGACUCCUACGGGAGGCAGCAGCAAGGAAUUUUGUGCAAUGGGCGAAAGCCUGACACAGCGACGCCGCGUGAGGGAUGAAGGCCUUCGGGUUGUAAACCUCUUUUCUCAGGGACGAAUAAUGACGGUACCUGAGGAAUAAGUCUCGGCUAACUACGU
RNAcentral lists this ribosomal RNA (457 nucleotides) under uncultured bacterium. Its description in RNAcentral is "bacterial SSU rRNA". It matches the Rfam family "Bacterial small subunit ribosomal RNA", at positions 29 to 506 of the family's 1533-position model. The record is from RNAcentral.